UGGUAUUUCUCUGAUACCAGAGAAAAUCCCUCACCUUUUAUGAUUUUUUUUAUUGCAUGCAGUGUCCAGAUUUCUGAGAUAAAACAGACUAUGGUGCAUCUAUCAUCAUUAUUACUUAAGAAGUACCACGGAGGUCAUGUUGUUAUCCGUAUGGCACUCGGU
Non-coding RNA from Electrophorus electricus (electric eel), 162 nucleotides. The record is from RefSeq and is a predicted model, not a curated record. Lineage: Eukaryota; Metazoa; Chordata; Actinopteri; Gymnotiformes; Gymnotidae.